Molecule: ribosomal RNA, 500 nt
Filed under: uncultured Myrionecta
Lineage: Eukaryota; Ciliophora; Litostomatea; Cyclotrichida; Mesodiniidae
Description: bacterial SSU rRNA
Rfam family: Eukaryotic small subunit ribosomal RNA
Source: RNAcentral
AACUUACCAGGUCAAGACAUGGGCGUGAUUGACAGGCUAAUGACUUUUCUCGAUUCCAUGGAUGGUGGUGCAUGGUCGCACUUAGUUGGUGCAGUGAUUUGUCAGGUUUAUUCCGGUAACGAACGAGACCUCGGCCUUGUAAAUAGCUAUGCUGCUUACAGGGACAUUGGCGGCUACGCCAAGGAAGCUCGAGGCAAUUGCAGAUCUGGAAUGCCCUUAGAUGUCCUGGGUCGCACGCGUGCUACAAUGACGCCACGAACGAGCUUGCGUGAUGAAAGUUACGCAUAAUCAGCAGUCGGCGUCUUAAGGGAUAGUCUCUUGUAACUGUGGGACUCCAACUAGGAAUGUCUCGUAAGCACAAGUCAACAUCUUGUGUUGAUUACGUCCCUGCUCUUUGUACACACCGCCCGUCGCUCCUACCGAUCGAGUGUUUAGGUGAAUUUGAUGGACGUAAGGAAGUCAAAUAAACCUGAGCACUAGAAGAAGAGAGUCGAGCAUCC